CUAUGGCAUUAAUCUUUUGGUUUUAUGAAGUCACAGGUAACGGGAAGAAGAUUCACUUUGGAAGGACACCACGCAUUCUCUGUUAUGGUGUUGGUAGUUACAAGAAACAAGCUGCUGUUAGUGCCUUGAUUGAUUCACUAGAGGGCAAGAAGUUUGUUCCACUCAUGGCCGACAGAGAAUCUGAAAUUGAACUGAUCGGAUGUGGAAAGGUUCAACGGAAUAACUCAUUGAUGGUUUUAGAGACAUCCGAUGCUAUGAAAGCACCUAAGUAUGUGAGGACAAGGCGAAGGAAAUUAGAUGGGGAAAUGAAGGGGGAGCCCUCCCAGACGAAAGGUCAGCAUAGUAGGCAGUCAGAUGUGUUCGUCCUUAUGUUACUCGAUUCUUUGAAGAAAUCCCCCCACGAGUUCGAUAGACCUGCCACAAUUUGUAGACCCAUGGCGCUUGCUCUGUCACAACAGAAGCAUUCAGUUGAUGGUCUUGAUAAAAUGAUGUCCCCAGCUUUAGAAGAUUAUGGCAGAGUGAAACUUGUUCUCAUGCCGGUUGCUUAGAACAAACAUUACCAUCUUAUUGUACUCGACAAAGACGAGAAGGCAUAUUUUCAUUAUUCAUCUGUCUGUAGUCCAGUUUAUGAUCAUGCAGCAAAUGCCAUGCGUUCCCUGUUUGAAGAUCGUUUGCAGAUAAAAUUCAAUGUCAAUGAGGCGGCAUCGUAUACCCUUACCCAUGUUCGUGACUGCCCACAGCAGAGGGAGGACAGUGUCGAUUGUCCAGUGUACUUGAUGGACUUCAUGGAACAGCUUUUGCAUGGCGAGGAACUCAGUGUAGCCCAUUCAGAUGUUGCCCAUCUGCGACAAGAGUACGCUGCACGCAUCUUGUCAGAUGGCAUUACACGAAACACACCCCAAUUAGCAUUGCCUACGCAAGCGUCAGAG
This is an RNA transcript of Dioscorea cayenensis subsp. rotundata (Guinea yam), 929 nucleotides long. RefSeq lists it as uncharacterized. The transcript is spliced from 3 exons. The record is from RefSeq and is a predicted model, not a curated record. Lineage: Eukaryota; Viridiplantae; Streptophyta; Magnoliopsida; Dioscoreales; Dioscoreaceae.